GAUUUUAUUUUCUACAGUGUUCUUGUGGGUAGGGCUGCAAUGUAUGAUCUCAUGACAGUAUAUGCAUGCUACCUUGCAAUUAUUUCAGGACUUGGCUGCACUCUUAUUUUGUUGUCAGUGUGCCGCCAAGCUUUACCGGCUCUCCCAAUUUCUAUAGCAUUGGGUGUUGUCUUUUACUUCUUGACUCGGUUAUUGAUGGAACCUUUUAUUGUUGGGACAGCAACAAAUCUGAUGAUGUUUUGAUCCUCUGUUGUAACUAAAAGGAGGAUUUUUUUAGCACUGUUCAUAGAAAUACUGAUGUCUUCAGGUGCAAAUUUUGUACACAGUAUGGUUAGCAUUACUUACCAAAUUAUCUUUCUCAUUUGCUCAUGUAAGUUUCUC
This 381-nucleotide unclassified non-coding RNA is filed under the name Hevea brasiliensis (rubber tree). The record is from RNAcentral. Lineage: Eukaryota; Viridiplantae; Streptophyta; Magnoliopsida; Malpighiales; Euphorbiaceae.